UCUGAGGUAAAUAUUCUUUUCAUUUAUACCUUUAUGAUGUCUAUUUUUUUGUUCAAAGUUAAUCUCAUUGCAAAGGUACAGUACAAUACACCACCAUAUCUAAUCUGACAAUGUUAACUUCACUAAUUAGUUUAAUUU
Amblyraja radiata (thorny skate) is the source of this 138-nucleotide long non-coding RNA. RefSeq lists it as uncharacterized. The transcript has 3 exons. Lineage: Eukaryota; Metazoa; Chordata; Chondrichthyes; Rajiformes; Rajidae. The record is from RefSeq and is a predicted model, not a curated record.